Molecule: long non-coding RNA, 2338 nt
Filed under: Sus scrofa (pig)
Lineage: Eukaryota; Metazoa; Chordata; Mammalia; Artiodactyla; Suidae
Description: lncRNA (ENSSSCG00060022430.1)
Source: RNAcentral
GUGGAAUUUGUGUCUGUCUCAACCGUUUUUCUGCUGCUGCCAAUCCAUGUGAAAUAAAAAAAAAAAAUCCUAGAAAAAGAUAAAAGGUCAAAGCUGACCCUUAUGUAGUGUUAAGUGCUAAUGGCACAAAAUACAGAGAGUGAGCUUGAUUUUGUAAACAUAUAUGUAUUACAUGCAUUUCCAUAAAUAUGCCUGUAUGUGAGAUAAAGGUAUGAAAAUGUCAACUAAGAGUGAUGUAAGUACUGGUUGCAAUUGCAGGUGAUUGACUUUUAUUCUUGAGUCUGUUUUCCUUUUUCAUGUUUUUCGCAAUGGAUGCAUAUUGUCUCUGUACUACUAAAAAGGGUUACCACAGGGACUGGUACGCCUUAAAUAUAACUUCUGGAACUGGACCUGGACAUGCCAACGCUGCCUCUCACCAGCUGCAGGACUUUGAGUAAAUGAAAUUGAACUACCCUCUUCCCAGCAGGUGUUCUCGCUUGAUACACGCGGGUAAUAAAUUUCUUACUGGUUAGGAUUAAAUGGCACCAUAUGUAGGGUCUCAGGCACACUCAGUAGGGAUUCCUUGAUUAGGGAACCGAGCUCUGAGCUCAACCCUGGAUCCAAGGCAGUGUUUGAGAUCUCAGUGCCUCAGGGGCUCUCCCUGCUCUAACCCACGACCCUGACCUACAAUCCCGCCGGGGAGGGAGCCGCUGCCUCCUCUUGCCUUCGCACCUCGGUGGCUGGGGUGACUCGUUCUCCCCGCGGCCUCUUGAGGAUGAGGUGCAGUCUCUUCCCAGGCUCCACGAGUUUUCGGUGAGUAAAGCGAGGAGGCCGGGAUGGGCAGCGGGGAAGUAGGAACGGGGUGGCGCCUCACACCCUCCCCUGCUUGUUUGGGGUGCGGCGAGGGGAGGUGCGCCUGUGCAGGGGUUCGCUGGGCUGCGGUUGUGGGUUCCCGGUGGGCGGCCGGAAACUGAGACAGGAAGCCUUGGGGUGGGGUGGGUGUGUGUGUCUGUGUCUGUCUGGUGGGGGGGCUUGGCAGGCGAAGCCAAGCCCUCAAGGGCUGGGACAGGUCCUUCGUUCGCGGAGGGCACUAGUCAAGGGCACUGGAACGCGGAGGUGGCGGAGCCACACUCAGGACCGUGGGCGCCCCGGCCGCGGGGCCGCCUUGGCCCGCGCCCCCCCAGCCCCCGCGUGCUUAGCGCCGCAGCGCAGCGCCUUCGGCUGGUUUCUCCCGCCCCUGGAUGGUCCCUGUUCCCUCGGCUUCUGUCUACCACCCACCUGGAUGCCUGCAGCCGCUGGCCUCUCUCCCCCCGGGUGCUCAAAACCAGCAGCGCCCCGGAGAGGAGAAAGAGGGUCCCCCGUCCUUUGGGGCCGCGCGGGACCCGGGUGCGGGGGAUAGGCCCCCCACCAUCCAUUUCCCAAAAGUCGCCGCAGAUGUGCGGCCACCGGGAGUCACGUAGUGUGCGGCGAGCGUCGGAGCUCGGAGAGGCCUGGGCGGGGGUGACCGGGCGAAGCCAGAGUGCAGAGGCUUCUCACGAAAGGGGAAGCUCCUUGCGGGGGUGCAGCUUUCGGCCGAAAUUUAGCUCCGCUGGGGCUUGGGAUAUUUGCUUUUCCUCCCCAACGUCUGCUUUAUUCUCUUCCAAAGAGCAUGUUCUGUUGCCGGAUUCUGGGCAUUUUCCGACCUCGUCAAAAAGGAUAUGCCGGGAAAGGAACAUGCAGAUAGUUUAACAUUCUUUGGUUGGAGUCUGAGGAAGUGUCACCUUGACGCUAAGGAGACUUGGCGCUUUCAGGGAGUGUAAAACUUGCAAAAUUAAGAUCCCCCCCUCCGUCUUUCCUAAAGACAACUUUCUCUUCCCCUGCCCCAGCUUUCUUCAGCAUAAAGCCUUGAUGAGCCCUAGGCUGGAAUCACUGGAAGUUAAGGAGUCUGGGGGGGGGGAGAAAGAACUAGAAAGUCCUGGAAGUGGGGCGGGAGUGGCUUUAGAUUGAAGCAAAGGUCAGGAUGACCCCAGGGGAGAAGCCUUUGUCGAGUUUCCCCCCCCCACUUCCUUUCUCUCCCAUUCCUGCUUUCAGUCCUCACUCAGGCUUGUAGUUAACAGUAGUAUUUUUAGAUUUAAAAUUUUGCCAAGUGAAAUUUUUCCUUAAGUGUACGUGUUACAUGCAAAAAAAAAUACAUAAAUUACGUAUAUAUAUAUAUGAGGGGGUGAGAGGAAACUUUAGGAGGUGAUGUAUUUGUUUGCAUAGCUUGUGGUUUUGCCACUGUAUGCUUCUCUCCAACCUGAUGAAGUUGCUUAUAUUGAAUAUUUAUGGCUUGUUUGUGUGUCAGUCAUACCUCAAUAAAAUGGUUUUUAAAAAAGUUGCA